This 68-nucleotide transfer RNA is filed under the name Pseudoclavellaria amerinae. RNAcentral's name for it is "tRNA-Ala". Lineage: Eukaryota; Metazoa; Arthropoda; Insecta; Hymenoptera; Cimbicidae. The record is from RNAcentral.
AGGAUAAUAGUUAAAAUAUUAUAACAUUUGAAUUGCAAUCAAAAAUUAUUAAAUAAUUAAUUUAUCUU